UUAUCUUGGAAGCAUAUAUACUAAGAUUUGAAUGAUACAGAGAAGAUUAGUAUUGACUCUGUGUAAGGAUGACACACAAAUUCAAGUCUUCCACAUUUUU
RNAcentral lists this small nuclear RNA (100 nucleotides) under Mus pahari (shrew mouse). The record is from RNAcentral. Lineage: Eukaryota; Metazoa; Chordata; Mammalia; Rodentia; Muridae.